UAAAAAAAUUUUAAUUUUUAAAAAUUUAAAAAAACAAAUAAGAUCAGAAAUUAUAUAAUUAAGUGCCACAUUGAAAGUCAGACGGUAACUACAACAGGAAAGGGAAAACUUAUAUGGGCUGAAGUAGUAAGAGAUAUGAAACCUGAUCUAGCUGAGAAACAGAUGAGAGGAAGACAGGCAAGAAUUUGCCCUGAAACUGGCUCAAAACAAGCUAGAGAAAGGACUUAAAAAUGGAAAGAAAUAGGCAGAAAGUGCAGAGGUAUUAAAAAAGAAAAAAAAAAAAGGUUGUUAGAGAAAUCAUUAUCAAAUAGCAAGCAGUGGGAAUGAAUGGAACAGUACAGAGACAAUGGGGAAAAGAGAGUCAGAAAUCAUAAGAGAUAAGAGAUCAAACCCUGUCAUAGCAAAAGGGAUACAGGCUGUCUAUCAAAGCCCUAUUGUUCAGGCUGACCCUGUCAGCAAGAUUCACACUAAAAGGGUAUACUACAACUUUUCAGUCUCCAAAGUACUGGCUUGCAAGUGACACUUAAACCUCUUUUAAUGAUAGACCUAGUUUGAAACUCACAGAACAGUUUUUCAUCUUCUCUCUUCAUUAACCUGCCUGCACUAGCAGUUUUCUGUCAUAAAAUGCUUAACAAAGCUUUAACAGGAAUGGGAGUGUUCUAGUCUGUUCUCUUCCUCAUUACACUCUUAGGAGGUGCUCUCUCUGCCCCUGUAAUAUAUUUCCUUAAUACAGUUCCUGACUCCACUGAACUCCCCUUCAAUUGUUGGAAACUUUGUUCAUGAUCAUACCAGGGACAAUAUGUGCUCUUUCAUAGUCAUAGUAAGGUGACAAGCUUUGAAAAGGAUCUGUGGGUUAAUUGCCCUAGAAUUAAACCUUUAAGGCCCACAGCAGGGGCAGAGCUAAGAGUCAUCUCAGCACAAAGAGAAUUCACUCUCUGGCAACAGGCUGAGGGGCUAAACCAGGGUUUAAAAGAUCCAUGCCUACAGGGUGGAGGACAACCCACUUUGUAUACCAAAUAUGCUAUUUCUAUUUCUAGAUUGUGGUGUCUUUUAGUUGCACAGUGCUUUACAACUUUAAAAAAAUCCUAUCACUUACCUUAUCUCAUGUUCUAAAUGCUUUAAAAUAAAAGAUGCUUCAAAACUAGAAAAUAUUAAUUUGCCUUACUGUGUUGUAAUAUAUACACAGUAUAGAGAAUAAGUUUUAAACAUACAGCUCAAUUAAUUUCUACAUAUAUACAUAUAAAUACACACACACACACACACACACACACACACAGAUCAUUAACCACCAUAGGAUAUAAAGAAUUUCCAGGACCCCAAAAGGCUCUCUUGAGUACCUCCCCCAGUAAUUUUUUUCCUCACAACAUUAAAGCUUUUUAAAAUAAAAAUUUAAAAAUUGUUAAUCCAAACAUUUCACUGAUGUUUAAGGAAGCUGAUUUGACUCAUUAAUAUACUUUCAAAGUUUUAAGAAAUAAUGAUAAAAAAAAAAGCCAAAGACUUAUAUAUGUUAAUAGUUUCCACCAAAAAGAAAUGUACUAUCCCUCUCACUAAACCCUAACCUUUUGAACUGACUCAUCAGGGACUUUUUAACAAUACUAGGAACUAUUGGUAACAGGAAUAACAAGUACCAGAAGGCAACAGUUAGCUUUUAAAAUGUUUAAUCCAGAAAUAUACCCAAAUACAUAGCCAUUACCAACAUGUGAAGUCAGCGGAAAGAGGAUAAAAGGAGCUAAGCAAGGGGACAUCUGGCCUGGCUUUUUUGUGAAGUCUUCUGUUAAUUUUUAUGCUGGUUUAACUAACGCACAUAGCAUAGAAAUAAUAUAGUAGCAUAAAUGUUACCAAGGGCAAGAAUCAGAAACAAAAAACAAUUCCCAGAAAAGGGAAUUUCAUACCUUUCUACGAAAGACUAGGUUAUUUCAGGCAACUAUGGGCUUAUAACUAUUUAAAUAGUUAAACAGGUGGCUUUCUUCUCCUGUAGGCCACAGGCACAAACUACAAUGAAUAUCACUUGUGAAAAUCAGGCACAAGUGAAUGAAGAAAAGUUUCAUAACUGGACAGACAGCACCAAGAGACUUUACCACAAUAACUAUCCUCAUGGUCAGGGUUUAGGCACAUUCUGUAAUUAAUAAAGAUUGAUGUCUUUAAAUUUAAUUAUCAAUUUAAAUGAAAGUACAAAAAUGAAAUCUUUAUGAGGGCUGCAAUUACAUACUUUUGCCUAUCAUUCAACAGCUGUCUGCAGUACUCUAAUGCCAACUUUAUUUGUAACAGAAUAUUAUAUAAUCAAAGUUAGCUUUGUGCAAAAACAAUUUAGAUUAAGUCUGGAAACUCUAGGUUUAUGAGAGUCUCUAACUUUCUCCACUCCCUGAAAUAAUCUCUAUUCAACCUUCACUCUUAUAGAGGGUAAGAAGAGGUAAGAGAACCAAGCAUGGCUUUUAACUAUCACCUGGUCAAUAGCAUCAAGAAAUACUGGAGUCAAAGCAGAAAAAAAACUACUGUCUCUUUGCUACCAUUUACCUCUUUGUUCUCAUGGCCAAUAAAACACACAAAUCUAGGUCACUUAAAAUCCUCUAAUAGCUAAAUGCAUCUUUAACAGGUAACCAAGUUAAAUUAUUCCCCUGUCUCCACCUGAGAAUAAACCAUGAUGACUACUAGGUUAGCUUCCCCACAGGUAAACUGAGGAAUGGAUCAUGUAUGCUUGGGAAGCUCUUACUCACAGUCUCACGUACACUAAUGAUGGCUUAGGAGCCUCCAGCACACACACACCUUCUUGUGUUCCAAAAGCUUUACAACAGCAUAGCAUAGUAGGAGGCAGAAUGAUAAAUCUCAAAUCUCACCUUUGACAGUAACUACUUGUAUGAAUUCAGAAAGGCACCUAAACUCUCUGCCUCAAUUUCCUCAUCUGUAAAUUGGGAAUGACACGUAGCAACCUCCCAGAAUUGUUGAAAUGAUUAAAUAAACUGAGACAUGUAAAGUACUUACAACAGCCCCCAACUAAAUAAGACUACACACCAGAAUCGUAUACUGAAGUACCAUUGUGUGUCUGCGUGUAAAGAGUUUGAAUGGGGUCUCUGCUCUUUGCUGAUUUAUCAGACUAAGAAACAGUAUGACUUCAGAUGCAUUCCUUGGGAAACAGACUCUGAGAUGAAUAUUUUCAGGAGGGAAAGUUCUUGGAAAGUAUCCUUGGGAUCAACAACUAUGGAGGAGCACAAGAUAUAGGAAUGGGCACAAGGAGUAGUUGAACUGUAUUACAAUAGCGACAAAAGACUCAGCCAAUCCUACAGGGUUCUCUGGAGCUGGGAUGGUCCUUCUGACUUGGACCACCCAAGUCUCAAGGGAUUGAGACUUUAUAACUCCACAUUGACCAGCCAUUUGCUGUGGGCUGCCCUCAGGUGGGGGUCAUGACCUUGAGUGAAUGGGUCCCUUCAGCUAAUACCCAGGCAGAGAUUCAGCUGAGAACUAGCAGCCAUCAGCAGUCCAGCCACUAUGGGAAUGAGUCCCUCAGUCCUGAAGGGAGGAUGUGGACAGCACACCAGAUUUAUAUCCACUUGUACAGAAAUACAAGUGGCACAAUGGUUGGGCUGUACUUGAUCUGGUGUGCUUUCUCUGUGGGGAAGUCUACCAAGAUUCUGAUUGGUCAUCUCUUCCUGCAGAAGUUUAUGUGAGAGAGGGAGGUGUUAGUGGGGCAGCUGGUGUCAAGACCACAACUGAUACUCAGUGCAUUGCUUUCCUACUGUAUCUCGACCCUCUUCUUGAGCCCUCAUUCUUGACCCUCUUCAUCCCAAGCUAGUGUCUCUGCUGGUCAAGGCAGCUUAACUUGGGGGGUGACCCAGACCUCAUCACUGCGGGACAUGUUCUCAGUCCAUGACUUCUAUACUUUUCCAUUCACUCUCAAAAUUGAGCAAAGGAGUACUAAGAAACUCCCGAGUGAGCCACCUAAGUGCCAACCAGAUUUUUCCACACCCCCAUUGGGUAGCAGCAGCCUUACUAUUUUCUUUCAGGACCAAUUAUCCCUGCCAGGAUGGUGACCCCUUCUUUUCACUGCUGUUCUCUUGGCCUGAGGAACCUGAAGUGAUGGGGUGGCAGCCACAGCUUAAAGUUUCAUAGGACUGUUAAGCUGGCCCUUGAUAAAAGUGUUCAUCUUCUGAGAAGCAGGACCUCUAAACCCACAGAUCCCAAAGUUGUGGGGACUGGAAGCCCAAAUUCUUCACAUGGGCUUCAAAAGGUAAAUGGCACUACUCCAACUUUCAAGCCUUCAUCGCUGGAUCCAUUCAUUCUGUCUCUUGGACACACAGCACUAUACAAUGAUGGUUAAGGGAUAUGCUGCACUUACACCCCAUCCUCACAAGUUAUCAUCUCCAAAUUGACACUUCACUUAUGUCUUCACAAGGUCAUUCUAUCACUCUACUAGACAGGCAGUUUCUGGGUGGUAUGGUAUUUGAUAAGGCUGGUGGGUCCUAUGGUCAUGUGUCUACUUUCACUCCUCUUUUGCUGUAAAGGGUUCCUUGGUCUGAUACAAUGUUAUGCCAAUCCUGAGCUGGUGGAUCAAACACUCUCUAAGCUGCUGGAUAGUGAUGCUGACUUCCCUGUGAGAAGGUAAACUCAUUUAUAGGUAUAUAGAAACAAGCAAAAAUGUCUCCACACAAGGGAUGAUUCCUGGAUUUCCUUUACUUUUCUGCCCAAGCCAUUGUCCUCAGGAAUGAUGUGUGGCUAUAAAAUGUACUGUGGAAAUCAUCUCUCCAUUCAGGAACUCAGCACAGCUGCUACCAUGAGGAGACUGCGUAUGUUCUGAAGCUAACGAACCUGUGUUCAAGAAUCUGCCUUUAGAAGUAACAGCACUGAAAGCCAUAAGCAAAAAAAUCUCAAGUAUGAUGGUAGCAAAUAGCUUCACAUAGAAACAUCUACUCUGUUGGCAAGUGCCCUUUAGAAAGCAGGACUUAAAUUCUUUUAAAACAAAAUCACCAGUCAUUCUUAGGAGUCUGCUGCUUGCAAAAGUAGGAAAAACAGGUUUUUUGAGCUACAGCUGCAGAUUCAAAAAUUAGUUUGUACCAGUUGAUUUUGCUUUAGUAAUGUAAAAAGUAAAAAACCCAAAGAGAGCAGUAAGAAUUAGCUGAGGGUGUUUAGAGAUGUCAAAGAAAAUAACGGCAGAAAAAGCCACUUCAAAUAUCUCCAGAUUUGAAUUUCAAGCCACAGUUUCUUUUAAAUCUGCUUUCCCAACCCCUAGGCCAGUUUUUCUUUAAUAGUAAUACGUGCCCAAGGUUUAAAAAUAACACUGAGGUAUUAAAUAGAACAUUAAAGUCCCCUAACUCCUAUCUACUUUCAAUCCUAUUGCAAAUCCCCAGAACAUUCUUAAAAUUAUCACUGACUGUAUCUUAAAAGGUUAAAGAAACAUGGUGUCCAAUGUGUAAAUGUCCUAAGGAAGUCUGUUUCUCUGGCCUUGAAUUUUCCAUCAGGGGCCAGCUAUGUAACUUAGGGAACGUGAGACACAGACUCAAAAGAUGAAAGCUCAACUCCUCACUUCUUUCCAACCAGGUUUGUGCCUUUGAGCAGAGCAUUUCCACUUGCUGGAAUUCUUUUCCCCCUUCUGGAAAGUAAGGGAAAUUAAAAUGCUGACUCUUGGUUUGCUUCUAUUCAAAUCUUCUUUACUGGCAUUAAUAGAAACAUAAAGGAGUCACAAACAUAAGCCACAUAGGUAAUUUUAUUUCUUUUUUCUUGUUGUUUCUUUUAGAGACAAGGUCUUAAUCUGUUGCCCAGGCUGGA
This 5757-nucleotide long non-coding RNA is filed under the name Homo sapiens (human). RNAcentral's name for it is "HSALNT0328399". Lineage: Eukaryota; Metazoa; Chordata; Mammalia; Primates; Hominidae. The record is from RNAcentral.